Long non-coding RNA from Catharus ustulatus (Swainson's thrush), 942 nucleotides. RefSeq lists it as uncharacterized. The transcript has 4 exons. NCBI's taxonomy places the organism in Eukaryota, Metazoa, Chordata, Aves, Passeriformes, Turdidae. The record is from RefSeq and is a predicted model, not a curated record.
AUUGAGUUACAAGCUGUGGGAUGCACCUGUAGAAUGUCAUGGCAGCACAAAGAUGCUUAUCUGCCCUGACCUUGGGAAUAAAUGCCAGUUGGAGACGCCCUAGGGAGAGGACCCAGUGGGAAUCUGCCAGACUCCUGCACAGCAUGUGAUCAUCCUAUAGAAGGACAUCAGGAAAGUGUUGCUGACGUGGCAAUGUGUGAUAGGCAAUUUAGUGAAAAAACCUAUAUAAUUAAAUACUGGGUGUAUAACAAGGGUAUAAAACCAGCUCCUAUCUCUCAAUAAAUUUCUCAGUAUCCCUGCGGUUCUGAGUCCCUGCCUCCUUCGUUCACAUGCCAGAGGAGCAGCCAGGUAGCCGUGGGCCAGGCAGGAGACUGGGCUGUGUCUCAGGGAUAUUUCUCGUAAGGGGAGAGGACUGGGAUCUCCAGAGUGGGAGAGGGAAGGCUGGGGGUGAUCAAGCAGGGCAGCAAAGCCCUGCUAACCCCCCCUGCCUGCCUUGUUCUUGCUUCCCAAGGGACCAGGCCUAGAGCAGACUCAUCUCAGCUCUUGCUCUCACCCAGCCCACCAUGUUUUCCUUCUUGGCGUUUAUUCCAGCUGUCAUUGCAUUCCUUGUGGGAGUUGCUGUAGGAGCUGCAAUUGUAGCAGCAGCAAAGAGUCAGAAUGUGUUCUUCACUGUGAAUCGCUGUGGUCUGAUUUUCCGUGUGGGCGGGGAAGAAAAUGCCUGCGCUCCAACCAGCAGCCCUUGUGAUGCUGGCCAGAAGAAGGAAUGGUGACCCCUGCCAGUGAACAGAAGCACAUUUCCUUCCUUCCAACCAGCCUGAUUCGUGUCUUUAGAUUGCAGGACCAGGAAAACACCCUCUGACUCCCUGUUGUCCCUUACAAAACACUUGCAUUGCCUUAAGGAGUAAAUGCUUUGAAAAAUUUAAUAAAAAUGCAUGUCUGGUG